GUCAAAACAGUCCCUCCCUCCGGAGCUUUGAUCACACAACAGUUUUGUAACCAUGUUCUCUCAGAAAGUUCCAUAGUCCACCCGUCUAGAACAAAAUAAAGUGAUUUCCAGAAAGAAUUUUAGAACCAGAAGGAAACUUAGAGAUGAUGAGCACUUAACACCUGGAUUUCACAGGUUUAUUAUGGCACAAGAAUCAUCGUUUCAAGAACUUCUUGGCAGAAUCUGAGGAUGAUGCAGCAAGAAGGCCCUCACCAGAUGCCAGUACAUUGAUAUUGAACUUUCCAGCCUCC
Symphalangus syndactylus (siamang) is the source of this 290-nucleotide long non-coding RNA. RefSeq lists it as uncharacterized. The record is from RefSeq and is a predicted model, not a curated record. NCBI's taxonomy places the organism in Eukaryota, Metazoa, Chordata, Mammalia, Primates, Hylobatidae.